This 378-nucleotide long non-coding RNA is filed under the name Phaseolus vulgaris (common bean). Its description in RNAcentral is "long non-coding RNA (PVUL_LNC003096)". Lineage: Eukaryota; Viridiplantae; Streptophyta; Magnoliopsida; Fabales; Fabaceae. The record is from RNAcentral.
UCUUGCACAAGGACAUCAGAUAAAGAAGACAAAGAAAGAAAGGAAUUGCUUUUAGAACAACACAUAAACUAUAUUGUACGCUUGUGUUUAUUACUUUUGCAGCAGAGGUGAGUAAAUCCUUCUCUUCUCUCUAUCUAGUGUAGCAUUGAAUUUGGUGUGGAAAAAGAAAUUAUAAAGUGCAAGCACGUACGUUAUGAUCAUUUCAUGUUCCUCGAGACUAGCAAUUAUUUUAUAUCAGGGGACACAUGUGUGGGAUCAUGUGACAGAGAAGCCAAAUCAGGCAUAACCAUGACUCUGGUACAUAUCAGUACACAAAAAAUGGCACUCUACUAUGCAUGAAAAUAGUUGAAAAUGACAAAAAAAGGCCAACCCUGCUUC